Megalobrama amblycephala (Wuchang bream) is the source of this 1930-nucleotide long non-coding RNA. RefSeq lists it as uncharacterized. NCBI's taxonomy places the organism in Eukaryota, Metazoa, Chordata, Actinopteri, Cypriniformes, Xenocyprididae. The transcript is spliced from 3 exons. The record is from RefSeq and is a predicted model, not a curated record.
GAACAUCAACAGGUGAUGACGAGGACUAAGCCAUCUCUCCAUCCUUGGCUAUAUAUUUUGGUGGCAGUGUGUCUUUUUUUGGCAAUUGCAAUAUUUGUAGUAAUUCUCUACACCAAGUAUAAAAAAGGUGCCCAACAGGCUGAUAAUACAGUCUAUGCUCAAAAUGAGGUUCAAGACAAGACGCAAGAGGAAGAUAAUCGACCCAACACAAUGUACUGCACAGUAGGACAACACCGAAAACCUGCAGUCUUUGUCGAAACAGACCAUACAAUUUAUCCAGUGGUGUGCAAACAACCAAAACCACCCACCAUUUCAUCUGAUGAAGCAUAACAUGAAACUGUAUCUGUUUGUUACAUGGGGAAGUUUAACCAUCUCUACCAUUAAAGGUGGGAUAAGUAGAUUUUGAAAAACGCUGUUGGGCAUUGUUGAUAUUUGAAAUCAACCCAAACAACCACUUCCAAUCACUCUCCAAUCCUAACCACCCUGCUCCGAUGAUGCGCAACAAAAUGCUUCACGAAAAAUAAAGCACAGAUGAUGAACCAACGACAAGGAAGCAGAAAAAAUGAACGUACAGUCUAAAUAUAAACAAGAGUUCGUUGUUAGUUGCCAACAGCACAGAAGUUCAUGACACUCAAACCCAGUGUUACUCACAUGUGAAGCGUAAUCAAAGCAGCCUCCGCGUCUGUUUUCAGGCCUUCCCACUUAGCUCUCUCCAGCACUGGAAAGCUGUUCUAAUAUUAACGUGGGUCCUAAAGAUCUUGAUCUUGAUAUUCUUUUGAGAUCUUUUGUAUUGUGUUUCAUCUGUCUCUCUGCAGUUUUUUUUUUCCAAAUCUCCCUCUUACUCGUUCUGUCUCCUUGACCGCUAUAGACACACCCCCUAAUGCUGAUGGUUACACAUUUGUUGUUGGUGUCAGCCCGACUAACUUCCAAACAGUGUUUUUCAAAAUCUACUUCACCUUUAAAUGGUAUAAAUAGUAAGAAGAGCUAGUAUGCUAUUCUAAAAUUCAGCCAAGGCUGUUGUCUAAUUAAGAUAUAUUCUCUCAAGCAUUGGUUUAGUAGUAUUGGUUUCAAAUAUCCUCCAAACUGUCUUAACCAUGCUGAAAAAUCCAGCAUAAACCAGCAUGAAUUCCAUGUUGGUCCAAGCUGAUUUAUGCUGGUUAGAGCUGGUGUAGUGCUGGUCUAGCUUGUGGACCAUCAUAGUUAUGCUGUUCUGAGCUGAUCUGAUCCACCAGCACUCCUGCUUCCUAUGCUGCAUGAGGACCAGUAAACCAGCAUCCCAUGCUGGACCAAGCAUGCAAAAAUACCUUAUGCUGGUGACCAGCAAUGCUGGAUUUUUCAGCAGGCAAUUCUAUUCUGAAUUUGAUUUUUGUACACAUAACUUCCAAAUAAUCAUCAACUGUGAAAUGCUGGCAGUUCUCUUACUUUGUCUGUUGAUGGUGUCGCCUUGGAGUUUCAACGCAAACUAAAAAAUCUUGGUGUCAUCUUUGAUGCCACGCUGUCAUUUGAGUCUUUUGUUCAGAAUACGGUUAAGACAUCCUUUUUUCACCUCAGAAAUAUAGUACGUUUACAUCCUAUGUUUGCUGUGGCUAAAUCGUUAGUCAACAAACUUCAAUAUUUACAAAAUUCGGCUGCUGGAGUAUUUUCUGGGGUCAGGGCUGGUGAUCAUAUUACCCCUGUCUUGAAGUUUUUGCACUGGCUCCCUGUCAGGUAUCGUAUUGAUUUUAAAGUCCUCAUGUUAACAUAUAAGGCUUUGCAUGAUCUGGCUCCUCAGUACUUGACUGAUCUUUUAAUGCCUUACGCACCAUCCUAAGACACAGCUUUGCUCUAGGGGUGAUAGAGCAUUUUCUUCUUAUGCUCCUAAGCUUUGGAACUCUUUCCCAGCUGACAUCAGGGAAGCAAAUACAUUAGUGCAAAUAGAUUAUUUUUUCUA